Long non-coding RNA from Oncorhynchus tshawytscha (Chinook salmon), 1418 nucleotides. Lineage: Eukaryota; Metazoa; Chordata; Actinopteri; Salmoniformes; Salmonidae. The record is from Ensembl.
CACCUGUAUGAGCUUGGCUUUGUGCAAAACCCUGCUGACAUGAUCAAUAACCCUGCUGACAUGAUCAAUGCUUGUAACAUUCCUCAUAACACAUCUGUAACCCUGGCUUCCCCUCCCUUUCUCCCUCCCGCCCUCUCUCUUUCUCCCUCUCUCCCCCUCUCUUCCUUCCUCUCUCCUUCCCUCCAUUCAUCUCCAGAAAGUAGCUCAGAUCAUAAGCCCUUCCACUAUAGUGUGAUUCCUGACUGGGACCCUGCUUGGAGUAAGUGGAGCAACGCCUCAACUCAAACCUCCUUCUCUAAACAACGCCCAGGGCCUGUAUUCACAGAGCUUCUCAGAGUAGGAGUGGUUGAACUAGGAUCAGGUCCCACCAGCCCUUGUAAUCUCAUUCAUUAUGAUCUAAAAAGGGGAAAAACUGAUCCCAGAUCAGCACUGGUACUGAGAUGAUAUGUGAAUAUGGGGCCUGGGCUAAGAGCUGUGCUAUAAUCUAUACUGUAUGGACGCCUGUAUUUCUCCAAGCUGCUGCUGUUUGUGACAUAGCCUGGGUACCAGUCUCUUUGUGUUAACGUUCAUCUCCUCGUCGUGACAAACAAAUGACCACAAGAGUACCAGAGGUGGAAUGUUAGCACGAAACAGGUCUGGAUUUCAGGCUAGCUGUGGUGUUUUGAUGGGAGGUCUGGGUGCUUGUAGUAUCUCUGUAGUAAGUCUGCUACUCUGGUCUCUCUCUACAGGUCUGAUAUCCAGAAAGACACUAUUACCACGCCAAGGAAGACAGACGAGACCAAUAUGUUUUCUCGCGCUGCCAGCAGCACCUCUCAUGGACACUGUAAAGACCCGGGACUGUUUUUAAAUGAAAAGAAAGGCCACUUUUGAGCAUAGCUUUUAUAUAGUUUUUUUUUUUUUUUUAAAGUUAAUUUAAAUAUUGUUAUAUUUUUCUUCCCAAAAGUACCUGGUGGGUGCAGUCGUUUUUUUCCUGUUACUCUAUUGGGUUAUUCUGUAAAUAAUUAUUUUAAUAGUUUCCUGUGAAUUUAUGAAUGGUUGGUUUCUUUAUCGUCUUGUUGACCACUUUUACUGCAACUUCUGAUUCACCUGUUGAUUGAUGUUAUACCCUGGGAUGAAAGGCUAGUUCUGAUAUACCCUGGGAUGAAAGGCUAGUUCUGGUAUACCCUGGGAUGAAAGGCUAGUUCUGGUAUACCCUGGGAUGAAAGGCUAGUUCUGGUAUACCCUGGGAUGAAAGGCUAGUUCUGGUAUACCCUGGGAUGAAAGGCUAGUUCUGGUAUACCCUGGGAUGAAAAGCUAGUUCUGGUAUACCCUGGGAUGAAAGGCUAGUUCUGGUAUACCCUGGGAUGAAAGGCUAGUUCUGGUAUACCCUGGGAUGAAAGGCUAGUUCUGUUACCCUGGGAUGAAAGGCUAGUUCUGGU